CCUACGGGGGACAGCAGUGGGGAAUAUUGCACAAUGGGGGAAACCCUGAUGCAGCGACGCCGCGUGAGUGAAGAAGUAUUUCGGUAUGUAAAGCCCUAUCAGCAGGGAAGAAAAUGACGGUACCUGAUUAUGAAGCCCCGGCUAACUACGUGCCAGCAGCCGCGGUCAUACGGAGGGGGCCAGCGUUAUCCGGAUUUACUGGGUGUAAAGGGAGCGUAGUCGGGUGCGCAAGUCUGAAGUGAAAUGCCGGGGCUUAACCCCGGUACUGCCUUGGAAACUGUGCAGCUAGAGUGCAGGAGAGGUAAGUGGAAUGCCUAGUGUAGCGGUGAAAUGCGUAGAUAUUAGGAAGAACACCAGUGGCGAAGGCGGCUUACUGGACUGUAACUGACGUUGAGGCUCGAAAGCGUGGGGAGCAAACAGGAUUAGAUACCCUAGUAGUC
This 440-nucleotide ribosomal RNA is filed under the name uncultured bacterium. Its description in RNAcentral is "partial 16S ribosomal RNA". It matches the Rfam family "Bacterial small subunit ribosomal RNA", at positions 338 to 795 of the family's 1533-position model. The record is from RNAcentral.